AAGUCGUAACAAGGUUUCCGUAGGUGAACCUGCGGAAGGAUCAUUAUAGAAUUGUUCGAAUCCAUACGGACAUUUUCUAAAAAUCCGUAUCCACACCGGUAGGGUCCGAAGAGUUUUUAUAUUUUUCGGGCCCUUACCGUAGGGUUCCUCACUCGCUCCCUUUCGAGGGGGUUGGGUGUGGUUCUGUCUGACCCAUGCCUAUAAUUUUAUUUUGUCUGAACUUGUUUAUAAAAAUUAAUAAACAAAAACAACUUUCAACAACGGAUCUCUUGGCUCUC
RNAcentral lists this unclassified non-coding RNA (278 nucleotides) under Calcarisporiella sp. RNAcentral describes it as "partial internal transcribed spacer region". The stretch from base 1 to 46 matches the Rfam family "Eukaryotic small subunit ribosomal RNA", at positions 1786 to 1831 of the family's 1831-position model. The record is from RNAcentral. Lineage: Eukaryota; Fungi; Calcarisporiellomycota; Calcarisporiellomycetes; Calcarisporiellales; Calcarisporiellaceae.